AACUUCAAAGGAAUUCCAAAGGAAGAAUAAGAAAUCUUAAAGAAAUAUUAGAAUGAUUACAAACAUAUUUCAAAUACAUCUCAAUUCAAUCUUAAUAUAAUCUUAGUUGAAAUCUUACUUCAUUCCAAUUUUAGGCCAAAAACUAACUAAAUCUUAAAUCCUAAAUAAUCUCAAAUAAAAUCCUAAAUCUUAAAUCAAAUCCUAAUCAAAUCCUAACUAAAUCUUAAAUCCUAAACAAAAUCCUAAAUCCUAAAUCAAAUCCUAACCAAUCCCUAAGUCCUAAAUCAAAUUCUAAUCCUAAAUAAAAUCCUAACCAAACCUUAAAUCCUAAACCAAACUCUAAUCCUAAAUCAAAUCCUAACCAAAAUCUAACCAAAUCUUAAUCCUAAAUCAAAUCAUAGCCACCCCUAAACCAAACCUUAAAUCUUAAGUCAAAUCCUAAUCUUAAAUCAAACCCUAACCAAAUCCAAAAUCCUAAAUCAAACUCUAAUCUUAAAUCAAAUCCUAAUCAAAUCCUAAUCAAACUCUAACCAAAUCUUAAUCCUAAAUCAAAUCCUAACCACUCCUAAAUCAAAUCCUAAAAAAAUCCUAAAUCCUAAAUCAAAUCCUAAUUCUAAAUCAAAUCCUAACUAAAUCCUAAAUCCUAAACCAAACCCUAAUCCUAAAUCAAACCCUAACCAAAUCCUAAAUCCUAAACCAAAUCCUAAUCCUUAAUCAAAUCCUAACCAAAUCCUAAAUCCUAAACCAAAUCCUAAUCCUAAACCAAAUCCUAAUCCUAAAUCAAAUCUUGACCAAAUCCUAACCAAAUCCUAACCCUAAUUCUAACCAAAUCCUAAUCCUAAAUCAAACCCUAACCAAAUCCUAAAUCCUAAAUCAAAUCCUAACCAA
Molecule: long non-coding RNA, 888 nt
Filed under: Physcomitrium patens
Lineage: Eukaryota; Viridiplantae; Streptophyta; Bryopsida; Funariales; Funariaceae
Description: long non-coding RNA (PPAT_LNC003872)
Source: RNAcentral